Molecule: long non-coding RNA, 1361 nt
Organism: Balaenoptera musculus (blue whale)
Lineage: Eukaryota; Metazoa; Chordata; Mammalia; Artiodactyla; Balaenopteridae
Exons: 3
Source: RefSeq, a predicted model, not a curated record
GUUGCUUCCACCUUUGGGCUAUUGUGACAAUGCUGCUGUGAACAUAGUUGUACAUAGUUGUAUGUCCUUAGCUAUAAGUUCUAUCGACAACACCCUCAGAAGCUUUGGAAAUCCCUGAGUUGUACUCAUUCACUGUUAACAACGUAACAAAGUUUCCUGUUUUCCUGUUUUCUUUCUUAGGAGCUGCCUAUAUUAAAACUAAAUACAACAAACAGUCAUCAGAAUCAAAACACAGAUAUCCAAAACUCCGAAAAUACCUGACCUGUACUCUUCAAAACCAUCCAGCUCUUCAAAAACAAGGAAAGUCUCAGAAACUAUCACAGCCAAGAGGAGCCAAAAAGGAGCCAUGACAGCUAUGUAGAGUGUGGUACCUUGGAAGGAAUUCUGGAACAGAAAAAGGACAUUAGGUUACUAUAAACCAUGGAUGGAGAGAACUAAGAAUAUGGCAUAAGUGAAAUCUCUGCAAAUGAGAAUUUCAAGGAGAAAGGGAGACUUCCUUCUGACCCAUGUCUACAUGAAGGAGAAGGGAAUGCCAGUAAGUCAGAUGCUAAUGUUAAAAUUCCUAUUUCUUUCUGUUCCCGGAUCAGUCCCCUUCAAGUGGGAGGGUGCUGUGGAAAUAACCAUAUGUGUGAGAAGACCUCUUCAUCUCAUGUGAGGGUACCUGUGGGGCUCUAAGGAACCUUGGCAUUUGGCUCAGCUCCAUAUAUGAUAUAGAGCUAGAGCAAUAUUCUGGCCUUUGCUGAAGAUGGUGGCUGAAUAAAUAAGAGUGAAGCAGCACCUCUAGCUUUCUCUGCAUGAGAUGCAGGAGACAAAAGUUUGUGCAUGUCCUGGCAGAGAAAUAUUUAGGAGCUAAGAAGAAUGGAGGAAUAAUACAGGUGCAGGGAUCAGAGGAAGAGACUAUAAAAUACAUAGGACUUUCGUCACUAGGAACAAAUGGAUGGAUACCAUGGACCUUAGCAGUGGGUGCCAGAAUAUACCCCAACAAGUAAGACUGGAAGAACUGCCUCUCAGUAGACAUGAGUCCAGAAACCAAAGCCAACUUGCAGAAGCCACAAGAACCUGAGACCUUCUUGUUCCCCUGUCACCAUAAGGUGCCUCAGUGCCAUUUUAGGGAAAAGUACCAGGUGGAAAAGAAAGUCCAAAAGAGCUGAGCAUUUUCCUGAAAAUGACUUAUUCAUCCAAAAAAAAAGUUAUUUAAAAUGAAAGGGAAUGUGGCUCAGUGUAAAUUGCCCUCACCCCCCGGUCCAUCGCUCUGUCCCCCAACCUUCUGCACUUUGUAAGUGCUAAACUCAUCAGGGAAAGGACUUAUAAAAAGAAAUAAAUCCAUUGUAGAACAUAAAUAGGUACAUUUUUUUCUGUAU